RNAcentral lists this long non-coding RNA (400 nucleotides) under Brassica rapa (field mustard). Its description in RNAcentral is "long non-coding RNA (BRAP_LNC006396)". Lineage: Eukaryota; Viridiplantae; Streptophyta; Magnoliopsida; Brassicales; Brassicaceae. The record is from RNAcentral.
AAUACUUAAAAAAUAUUUAAAAAACUUUAAAAAAAAAUUUAAAACAUAAUUUUCGUUUUUCAAAAAGAAAUUUGAAAAAAAUAAAAAACAAAUUCGAAAAAAAAAAAUUCAAAAAAAAAUUAUAAAAAAGUUCGAAUUGCAAAAAGUAUAAUUCGAUUUUUUUUUUUUUAAAAUAAUGAUUUAUUAUAUAGAUAAAUAACAAGGGCAUAAGAGUCUUUUGCUACUUAAUGAAGAAGAUAUUUUUGAAAAUAUCUCCUUAUUGGUGAUAAAAAUGAAAAGUAGUCCCAUGAAAGUGGUAAACAUGUAAUUUCUCCAACAAAAAUUUUAAUUAAAACUUUAAAGGGAAAAUUACAUGUAAACUUUCAUUUAAUUUAAUUUCCCCAACAAAACCUUACCCCAC